This 74-nucleotide transfer RNA is filed under the name bacterium. Its description in RNAcentral is "tRNA-Arg". It matches the Rfam family "tRNA". From Rfam's summary of the family: Transfer RNA (tRNA) molecules are approximately 80 nucleotides in length. Their secondary structure includes four short double-helical elements and three loops (D, anti-codon, and T loops). Further hydrogen bonds mediate the characteristic L-shaped molecular structure. tRNAs have two regions of fundamental functional importance: the anti-codon, which is responsible for specific mRNA codon recognition, and the 3' end, to which the tRNAs corresponding amino acid is attached (by aminoacyl-tRNA synthetases). tRNAs cope with the degeneracy of the genetic code in two manners: having more than one tRNA (with a specific anti-codon) for a particular amino acid; and 'wobble' base-pairing, i.e. permitting non-standard base-pairing at the 3rd anti-codon position. The record is from RNAcentral. RNAcentral also lists the same sequence under 1 other name.
GCCCCCGUAGCUCAGUUGGACAGAGCAGGGACCUCCUAAGUCCAAGGCCGCAGGUUCGAAUCCUGCCGGGGGCG